Molecule: ribosomal RNA, 460 nt
Filed under: uncultured bacterium
Lineage: Bacteria
Description: partial 16S ribosomal RNA
Rfam family: Bacterial small subunit ribosomal RNA
Source: RNAcentral
CCUACGGGGAGCAGCAGUGAGGAAUAUUGGUCAAUGGACGAGAGUCUGAACCAGCCAAGUAGCGUGAAGGAUGACUGCCCUAUGGGUUGUAAACUUCUUUUAUAUGGGAAUAACAUGUUCCACGUGUGGGAUUUUGUAUGUACCAUAUGAAUAAGGAUCGGCUAACUCCGUGCCAGCAGCCGCGGUAAUACGGAGGAUCCGAGCGUUAUCCGGAUUUAUUGGGUUUAAAGGGAGCGUAGGUGGAUUGUUAAGUCAGUUGUGAAAGUUUGCGGCUCAACCGUAAAAUUGCAGUUGAAACUGGCAGUCUUGAGUACAGUAGAGGUGGGCGGAAUUCGUGGUGUAGCGGUGAAAUGCUUAGAUAUCACGAAGAACUCCGAUUGCGAAGGCAGUUCACUGGACUGCAACUGACACUGAGGCUCGAAAGUGUGGGUAUCAAACAGGAUUAGAUACCCUAGUAGUC